UUUAAUAUGCGAAAACAAAAAAGAAAAAAAAGAAGAAUCAAACAAAAAAAAAAGAAAUUUCGCCUCUGAAAUUGGUUUUUAGUUUCUGUUUUUCUUAUUCAAUAUUCGUAGCAAACCAAAAAAGAAGAAAAAACCCUUCUUUUUUUACAACAUAUUCGGUUUUAACCAAAAGAAAUGAAGAAAAAUAAAAGAGAAAUCCC
RNAcentral lists this long non-coding RNA (200 nucleotides) under Gossypium raimondii (Peruvian cotton). RNAcentral describes it as "long non-coding RNA (GRAI_LNC005972)". The record is from RNAcentral. Lineage: Eukaryota; Viridiplantae; Streptophyta; Magnoliopsida; Malvales; Malvaceae.